This 72-nucleotide transfer RNA is filed under the name Camelus dromedarius (Arabian camel). It matches the Rfam family "tRNA". From Rfam's summary of the family: Transfer RNA (tRNA) molecules are approximately 80 nucleotides in length. Their secondary structure includes four short double-helical elements and three loops (D, anti-codon, and T loops). The record is from Rfam by way of RNAcentral. RNAcentral also lists the same sequence under 1 other name. Lineage: Eukaryota; Metazoa; Chordata; Mammalia; Artiodactyla; Camelidae.
AGGGGUAUAGCUCAGUGGUAGAGUGCUUGCUUAGCAUGCAUGAGGUCCUGGGUUCAAUCCCCAGUACCUCUA